This 428-nucleotide ribosomal RNA is filed under the name uncultured prokaryote. RNAcentral's name for it is "bacterial SSU rRNA". It matches the Rfam family "Bacterial small subunit ribosomal RNA", at positions 355 to 774 of the family's 1533-position model. The record is from RNAcentral.
UGAGGAAUUUUGCGCAAUGGGAGCAAUCCUGACGCAGCAACGCCGCGUGGGUGAUGAAGGCCUUCGGGUCGUAAAGCCCUGUCAGGUGGGAAGAAUGUCCCGGGACUGAACAGGUUCCGGGAGUGACGGUACCACCAGAGGAAGCACCGGCUAACUCCGUGCCAGCAGCCGCGGUAAUACGGAGGGUGCAAGCGUUAUUCGGAAUUACUGGGCGUAAAGCGCGUGUAGGCGGUCCCGCAAGUCUGAUGUGAAAGCCCCGGGCUUAACCCGGGAAGUGCAGUGGAAACUGUGGGACUUGAGUACGGGAGAGGAUGGGGGAAUGCCCGGUGUAGAGGUGAAAUUCGUAGAGAUCGGGAGGAAUAUCAGUGGCGAAGGCGCCCAUCUGGACGGUAACUGACGCUGAGACGCGAAAGCGUGGGGAGCAAACA